AUACAGAGGGUGCGAGCGUUAAUCGGAAUUACUGGGCGUAAAGCGCGCGUAGGCGGCUUGGUCAGUCGGAUGUGAAAGCCCCGGGCUCAACCUGGGAAUUGCAUUCGAUACUGCCAGGCUAGAGUAUGGUAGAGGGAAGUGGAAUUCCGGGUGUAGCGGUGAAAUGCGUAGAUAUCCGGAGGAACACCAGUGGCGAAGGCGGCUUCCUGGACCAAUACUGACGCUGAGGUGCGAAAGCGUGGGGAGCAAACAGGAUUAGAAACCCUAGUAGUCC
Molecule: ribosomal RNA, 274 nt
Filed under: uncultured bacterium
Lineage: Bacteria
Description: partial 16S ribosomal RNA
Rfam family: Bacterial small subunit ribosomal RNA
Source: RNAcentral